This 302-nucleotide ribosomal RNA is filed under the name uncultured bacterium. RNAcentral's name for it is "partial 16S ribosomal RNA". It matches the Rfam family "Bacterial small subunit ribosomal RNA", at positions 508 to 807 of the family's 1533-position model. The record is from RNAcentral.
GCAGUCGCCGCGGGAACACGUAGGGUGCAAGCGUUAAUCGGAAUUACUGGGCGUAAAGCGUGCGCAGGCGGUUAUAUAAGACAGAUGUGAAAUCCCCGGGCUCAACCUGGGAACUGCAUUUGUGACUGUAUAGCUAGAGUACGGCAGAGGGGGAUGGAAUUCCGCGUGUAGCAGUGAAAUGCGUAGAUAUGCGGAGGAACACCGAUGGCGAAGGCAAUCCCCUGGGCCUGUACUGACGCUCAUGCACGAAAGCGUGGGGAGCAAACAGGAUUAGAUACCCGCGUAGUCCCUGUCUCUUAUAC